Molecule: ribosomal RNA, 357 nt
Filed under: uncultured bacterium
Lineage: Bacteria
Description: bacterial SSU rRNA
Rfam family: Bacterial small subunit ribosomal RNA
Source: RNAcentral
GAUGAAUGCUAGCGGCGUGGAUAAGGCAUGCAAGUCGAGUGGGUUUAGACCCACGGCAAACGAGGUAGUAAUACGCAGGUACUCACCGAAAAGUCGAGCAUAUACCGUCGAAAGGCGGAGCAAUUCUCGAUAGUCCCUCCGGGGUAAAGGAGCAAUCCGCUUUUUGAGAGGCCUGUGGCGCAUCAGGUAGUUGGUAGGGUAAUGGCCUACCAAGCCUACGACGCGUAGGGGAGCUGAGAGGCUGACCCCCACCGAUGGAACUGAGACACGGUCCAUACACCUACGGGUGGCUGCAGUCGAGAAUAUUGGCAAUGGGCGCAAGCCUGACCAUGCGACGCCGCGUGGUUGAUGAAGUCC